AUGAAUCCACUAAGAACCAUGAGGAACUCCUGUUUUUUUAUUUUAAAUGAUUUUUAUUUUUUUUCCAUUAUAGCUGGUGGUUUGCAGUGUUCUGUUAAUUUUCUACUGUACAGCAAGGUGACCCAGUCACACAUACAUAUAUACAUUCUUUUUUCUCCCAUUAUCAUGCUCCAUCAUAAGUGACUAGAUACAGUUCCCAGUGCUAUACAGCAGGAUCCCAUUGCUUAUCCAUUCCAAAGGCAAUAGUUUGCAUCUAUUAACCCCAAAUUCCCAGUCCAUCCCACUCUUCCCCCUCCCCCUUGGCAACCACAAAUCUGUUCUCCAAGUCCAUGCAUUUCUUUUCUGUGGAAAGGUUCAUUUGUGCUGUAUAUUAGAUUCCAGAUAUAAGUGAUAUCCUAUGGUAUUUGUCUUUCUAACUUACCUCACUUAGUAUGAGAGUCUCUAGUUCCAUCCAUGUUGUUGCAAAUGGCAUUAUUUUGUUCUUUUUAUGGCUGAAGAGUAUUCCAUUGUGUAUAUAUACCACAUCUUCUUAAUCCAUUCAUCUGUUGAUGGACAUUUGGGUUGAUUCGAUGUCUUGGCUUUUGUGAACAAUGCUGCAAUGAACAUACGGGUGCAUGUGACCUUUUCAAGGAAAGUUUUGUCUGGAUAUAUGCCCAAGAGUAGGAUUGCUGGGUCAUAUGUUCUAUAUUUAGUUUUCUGAGGUACCUCCCUACUGUUUUCCAUAGUGGUUGUACCAAUUUACAUUCCCACCAGCAGUGUAGGAUGCUUCCCUUUUCUCCACACCCUCUUCAGCAUUCGUUAUUUGUGGACUUUUUAAUGAUGGCCAUUCUGACUGGUGCCAGGUAGUGUGUGCUCUAUUCAAAUUAAAGUUUCUAUAAGUUAAAAAUCCUCCCCCCCCCAGAAUUCCCUCAUGGCCUAGCAGUUAAAGAUCUAGCAUUGUCACUGCUGUGGCUUUGGUUAUAGCUGUGGUAUGGGUUCCAGCCCUGGUCUGGGAACUUCUACAUGCCGCAGGCACAGCCUCAAAAUUUUACAAAAUAAAACUCCUCCCCCUUCCUUCCA
RNAcentral lists this long non-coding RNA (1059 nucleotides) under Sus scrofa (pig). RNAcentral's name for it is "lncRNA (ENSSSCG00070025321.1)". The record is from RNAcentral. Lineage: Eukaryota; Metazoa; Chordata; Mammalia; Artiodactyla; Suidae.